This 1460-nucleotide long non-coding RNA is filed under the name Heterocephalus glaber (naked mole-rat). RNAcentral describes it as "lncRNA (ENSHGLG00000040439.1)". Lineage: Eukaryota; Metazoa; Chordata; Mammalia; Rodentia; Bathyergidae. The record is from RNAcentral.
UUCAAAUGAGAUGGGAUAUUUCCUUGGUUUCUCCCUUGUUUCUCUAUUAUUUAGGUUUUGUUUAGUACAUACAACAAGGGAAAAUAUCAAAACUCCAAAUAAUUUUGGAAUUUACAACUAGAUGAAGAACAGUAGAGAAACCCAACAAAAUAUGCCAUUCAAUAUAUUUCACCCUCUGGCCAAUUUUAGCGGGAAAAAGAGGAAGACUAAAUCACAACAGACUGAAGAAAGUACUGGCUGAAUCUGAAUAAUGAAUCUUACUUUUGUUUCCUGGACUUUUCCUAGUCACAUCCCAUGAAUAACUUCUCUCCCAUCCUUCUUUCUUUCUUUCUUCCAGUUUUACAAGACACUUAAAUAUGAAUUCUAAGUCAUUUCUUUAUGAUUUAUUUAUUUUGUCCUUAAUGUCUACUCUGUCUACAUGAAGUAUGCAUGUCUAUAAUCUUGAUUAUUUUUCUCUUAUUCAUUUUUGUCUACUGUUAUAGUUGAGAUCUAAAAUAUCCCUCCUAAGUCUCAUGUGUUUGGGAGGAGAUUGGAUCGUGGGGGUGCUAUACUUAUCCACUGAUAAGUUCAGAAGCUGAAUAUACUGCUAGGAGACAGGGUCUGGUUGGAGAUAGAUCACUGGAGCCUUGAUCUGAAAGGGUGUAUUCUUGUCCACAGCUCUUCCCUUUUCUCUCCACUUUCUGUCUGCAUGGGUUGAAUAGCUUUCCUCUGCCAUGGCCCUCUGCCAUGCUAUUUCUGCCUUGGAGCCAGCUGACCAUGGACUGUAUCCUCAGGAUCCAAAAUACACUUCUCCUCCUUCAAAUUCUGAGUGUCAUGUGUUUUUUCCCAGUAAUAGAAAAGUGACUAAUACAUCUAGGGUCCCAGCCAAGAACUCAAAAGGAUACGGAUAAUUACUUUUUACUCUCCUACAAUAAUCAAUUUUAUGUUGAUAAGUACUCAAAUGCAUUGCCAUGUAUCUCAUCUCUGUGGAAAUUUAAAUAAAAUAAAUUUAAAACUAGUGCCUAGCAUGCUUUAUUAGCAUGCAUACAACCCUAAUUUUGAUCUCCCACAGCAAAAAUAUAACUGAAUUAUACAAUCAAUGCACCCAACCAUUAAUGGAAAAUUAGAAUGUAAUAAAAGAAACCCCUCAAAUUAGUGAGGAAAGAUGAAAUUAUUUAAAAGUAGUAUUAGGGAAAUGAUAUAGAAAUAUUCAAAAAGAUAAAAUUCAUCCAUUUAUCACACUUCAUACCAGAAAAUUCCAAUAGAUUAGAUAUGUACAUGAAACAACAAUAAAAAAUUGAACAAAAGAAUCUGAAAAAUUUGAAUGAGUUUCUUGGAAUAGGGAAAAUUUUCCCUAACAAUAUAAAAUCUAAAAGCAUAAAAGAAAGGUUUAACAUUUAAAUUAACAAAACGUUUUAAAUGUUUGUAUGAUAGAAUUGGAACCGAGGUCAAACUUUGAACUAAAGGAGGUUAGAAGGGCU